CCUACGGGCGGCUGCAGUGGGGAAUAUUGGACAAUGGGCGAAAGCCUGAUCCAGCCAUGCCGCGUGUGUGAAGAAGGCCUUCGGGUUGUAAAGCACUUUCAGUGGGGAAGAAAGCCUUGGGGCUAAUACCCUCGAGGAAGGACAUCACCCACAGAAGAAGCACCGGCUAACUCCGUGCCAGCAGCCGCGGUAAUACGGAGGGUGCGAGCGUUAAUCGGAAUUACUGGGCGUAAAGCGCGCGUAGGCGGUCUGAUAAGCCGGUUGUGAAAGCCCCGGGCUCAACCUGGGAACGGCAUCCGGAACGGUCAGGCUAGAGUGCAGGAGAGGAAGGUAGAAUUCCCGGUGUAGCGGUGAAAUGCGUAGAGAUCGGGAGGAAUACCAGUGGCGAAGGCGGCCUUCUGGACUGACACUGACGCUGAGGUGCGAAAGCGUGGGUAGCAAACAGGAUUAGAUACCCCAGUAGUC
This 465-nucleotide ribosomal RNA is filed under the name Vreelandella stevensii. RNAcentral's name for it is "partial 16S ribosomal RNA". It matches the Rfam family "Bacterial small subunit ribosomal RNA", at positions 338 to 795 of the family's 1533-position model. Lineage: Bacteria; Pseudomonadati; Pseudomonadota; Gammaproteobacteria; Oceanospirillales; Halomonadaceae. The record is from RNAcentral.